This 492-nucleotide ribosomal RNA is filed under the name uncultured bacterium. RNAcentral describes it as "partial 16S ribosomal RNA". It matches the Rfam family "Bacterial small subunit ribosomal RNA", at positions 29 to 507 of the family's 1533-position model. The record is from RNAcentral.
AGUGAACGCUGGCGGUAGGCCUAACACAUGCAAGUCGAACGGCAGCACAGUAAGAGCUUGCUCUUACGGGUGGCGAGUGGCGGACGGGUGAGGAAUACAUCGGAAUCUACUUUUUCGUGGGGGAUAACGUAGGGAAACUUACGCUAAUACCGCAUACGACCUACGGGUGAAAGCAGGGGAUCUUCGGACCUUGCGCGAUUGAAUGAGCCGAUGUCGGAUUAGCUAGUUGGCGGGGUAAAGGCCCACCAAGGCGACGAUCCGUAGCUGGUCUGAGAGGAUGAUCAGCCACACUGGAACUGAGACACGGUCCAGACUCCUACGGGAGGCAGCAGUGGGGAAUAUUGGACAAUGGGCGCAAGCCUGAUCCAGCCAUACCGCGUGGGUGAAGAAGGCCUUCGGGUUGUAAAGCCCUUUUGUUGGGAAAGAAGAGCAGCGGGUUAAUACCCCGCUGUUCUGACGGUACCCAAAGAAUAAGCACCGGCUAACUUCGUG